GGCCGUCAUCGCCAUCAGAUACUCCACCUUUGACCCCAUCGGAGACCCCACCUGAUACUCUGCCUGAGACCCCUCCUGAAACCCCGCCUGAGACUCCGGAGACUCUUCGAGAGUCGCCUGAGGCACCUCAGGAGACUACCGAGACCGCGGUGCCCCCGAUCACACGCCGAGACUCGGGCUUCGCGCCCGACUCCGCCGCCACGACGCGUCCCAACUCGGCCGGCGGAGCCGCCGUAGCCACGAUGCCGACCAAAGAGAAGAAGAAAGACGAGAGCAAGCGCCGCCUGCGCGGCCUGCAGCUGUUCAGGCGCUCCAAGAGCAAGCCGGCGCCGGUGCUUACGCCGCCGCCGCUCACCGCCAUGCCGGCACGUUCGGUGUCUGUAUCGGCGUCUGGCGAGCCACCACUGCCAGAGUUUUUCUCAGAGGUGGCUGCGCUGCGCCACUCAGCUGACGACCUAUCCUCCAUCGCUGGUGACCGCGAAUCCUCACCCUCGGGCCGUGACCUGGCCCUGUCACCGGUCUCCAUGUCACUCCACUCGCUCUCCGACCCUGCCCCACUCCAAACCCGACUGACGCCCUGGGAUACACCCUCCCUGGACCCACACAUGACCUCAGUGACCUCCGACCCGCGCGGCGCGGUGACCAGUUCACCAACCAACGGCGACUCUCGGCGCACCACCGAGACUCUCCGUCAGCGCGAGGAGCGAGAGCAAGUGGUGAGAGUGAGGAAAGUCACCACGGACAUGGAUCAGAUCUCGGUGCCGGUCAGUCAGGGCGCCGACCCGGAGAUGCUCCGCUCCGUCAUCAUGGAGAAGAUGCGAGGAAUGGGGAACAUCGGCGAUCAGAUGCCUGACACGCAGUCUGAGCCCGCGGUGGCCCUACCAGAGUCGCCCAAAAAUGGGGUCUUCAGUCCCGGCGGGAAGGGCAGCCAAAUCUCCAAAUUCACCAUCACCGCCGACCCCUUAUCCAGCUCACAGGUCACAAGCGCCAACAACUCAUCGACUCGUUUCGCUGCGAAGCGCUCUCAGCUGAUGUCCCGUCAGCUGUCGAGCUCCACCAGCACGAGCUCCAGCAGCGCCGAGCAGCGUCAGGCGUCUCACGACUCCUCCGAGCGGGUGACCGCCUCCUCCUCACAAUCCGAGCUGCAGAACUUCAACCACCGCAAGGUGUCGCAGACGCAGAUCGGCGGCAGCUCCAACGGCCUCUCCUCGUCGGCAGUGACGUGCGUCACGGCCAGCACCGCCAGCACCAGCUCCCGCGCCGUCAGCAGCGCGCUCAGCUCCCAAUCCACCCUCACGUCCACGGCUGGCGUCAGGGAGGUUCAGGCGGGCGCCGCCAGGGCGGCGCUACAGUCGCAGGCCUCGGCCGCCUCGUUUGCCUCGGCCGCCAAUGCGCGGCAGCUCGCUAAGAGCUUUGAUUCGCUCAAAAGCAUGUCCAUGGAUAAGCUGAAGGACUCGCUAUCCAUGGAGAAGUUGGAUGAUCGAGACCUACUCAACAUCGACCUGGGCAGUGAGGGUGGCUCCCGCGACCCGAACGUUCAGGUUUUCGAGCAGAAACAAUCCUACUCCACCUCAAACAAGAAGUUGGUGACGAAUGACUUCAGUGCCGAGGAGGCGACGGCCAACAGUGAGCAGAUGACGCACCUGCAGGAGGGCGACACCUCCUACCGGGAGAACAAGGCCAGCUCCGACAUGAGGGCCAAGCUGGAGAUGAACGGCAUCACCGCCGAGAAGGGGCUCUCCACACGACAGGAGGCGCGCCAGCUGAAGGCCAAAGACGUCUCACACCAGGAGUCGCGCUCAGCAGCCGUGGCCGGUGCCAAACUCUCAGCAGACGGCUUCAGCACACAGAAAAUCGCGAUGGAGCAGAACCAGCAGCGGCAGACCAAGGCGGCCGGUGUGGUGAACCAGGAGCAGAGCUCCAAGAAGUCUACCCACUCCAAGUUCACAAUCAACAACCGAACGGGAGUCGCCACACCGUCCAGUCCGGCCGUGGCAUUCGCCGUGGAAGAGCUGGAGCAGCUAGAACGGAGCACCAACCCCCUGGACGUCAACCAGGCGGUCAUCAAAUGCUCGCAUCACAUGUCUACGAUGGUGCGGAGCCUUGAGUCGUCAGAACCAGAGAAGUUCGGCUCAAUCUUUGAUGAGAUGGACGUGAUGCUGCGGCGCGCCUGGUCCGUUCCCACCUACGGCCACGAGCUGGGGAAUUCACUGUGUGAUGUGAUGCGAGCCAACGGAGGACUGGACGUGCUCAUCAGCUCGUGCAACACGGGCAGCAAGGAGAUGGACCUGAAGAGCGCGCGAGUGCUCGAGCAGUGCUUGACAACAGAAAACCGACAGUACGUGGUGGAACGCGGUCUGGAUAAUGUGGUCCGCUCCGCCUGUCGCACCUGCUCAGAAAAGUCUGACGAAGAGGAAUCGCGAGUCGGUUCUGGCAUCCUGGAACAUCUCUUCAAACACAGUGAGGGAACGUGCAGUGAUGUGGUCCGGAUGGGCGGUCUGGACGCGGUUAUAACACAGUGCAAGAACAAAGACCUGGAGACGUUGCGGCACUGCGCGUCGGCGCUGGCCAACCUGGCUCUGUACGGCGGGCCCGAGAACCAGCAGGCCAUGAUGAAGCGAAAGGUGCCCACCUGGCUGUUCCCGCUCGCCUUCCACAGCGACGACAACAUCAAAUACUACGCGUGCUUGGCCAUCGCCUCGAUGGUCGCCAACAAGGAGAUCGAGGCUGCCGUGCUCAAGUCGGGCACGCUCGAUCUCGUGGAGCCUUUCGUCACGUCUCACGAUCCGGACCAGUUCUCCAAGUCGAGCGUGGCGCAUGUACACGGCCAGUCGCGCACAUGGCUCAAGAGGUUGGUGCCCGUGCUUCUCUCAGAUCGGGAGGAGGCGCGCAAGCUGGCCGCCUUCCACUUCUGUAUGGAGGCCGGAAUCAAGAUGCGUCAGGGCUGUCCGGAGAUCUUUGACGAAAUCGGCGCCAUUGAGCCACUGAAACAGGUGGCGAGCUCGCCGAACGCUGUGGCCAGCAAGUACGCCGCCCAGGCGCUGCGUGUGCUCGGACAGGAGGUGCCGCACAAGCUCAGCCAGCAGGUGCCACUCUGGAGCGUCGAGGACGUGAAGGAGUGGGUAAAACAGAUAAACUUCUCCCAGUUCGCCGAGGACUUUGUACGCUCCAGGAUGGACGGAGACCUGCUGCUGCGCAUGACGGAGGAGAUGCUGAAGAACGACAUCGGCAUGACCAACGGCAUCCUCCGCAACCGCUUCAUGCGCGAGCUCAACAGCCUCAAGAAGAUGGCCGACUACGCCAGCUGCGACUCGACGGGCUUGAACGCCUUCCUCCAGAGUAUCAGUCCAGAGUUCAGCAUCUACACCUACCCCAUGCUGACCUCAGGAGUCGACAAGGACUGCCUCAGGUACCUCACAGACGAACAGCUUCAGACCGAGUGUGACAUCUCCAACUCCAUCCACCGGCUACGGAUACACGAGGCAAUUAAACACGAGUCGACACCGCCUGAAGUCUCUGAGGAUAUGGACAAAACGCUCGACUGUUUCAUCUCGUACCGUCGCUCGAACGGCUCGCAGCUGGCCUCGCUGCUGAAGGUGCACCUGGAGCUGCGAGGAUUCUCCGUCUUCAUCGACGUCGAACGGCUCGAGGCUGGAAAGUUCGACAACAACCUGCUCAACUCGAUCCGACAGGCGCAGAACUUCAUCCUAGUGCUGACGCCGUCGGCGCUGGAUCGGUGCAUACAGGACUACGAUCAAAAGGACUGGGUGCACAAGGAGGUAUACGCCGCUCUACAGUCCAAGUGCAACAUCAUCCCCAUCAUUGACAACUUCCAGUGGCCAGAACCGGAGGAGCUGCCAGAAGACAUCAAGGCCGUCUGCACAUUCAAUGGAGUCCGAUGGAUCCACGACUACCAGGAGGCCUGCGUCGACAAGCUGGAGCGGUUUAUGCGCGGCGAGACGAACCGUUCAGAGGGCCGGUAUGUUGGUCACGGCGCCGGCCCGGGUACACCGUCGGCCCGGCCCACACCACACCCGUUCUCGCGCACGCAGAGCACAGACUCUGCGCGAGACGCCUAGUGUCAGAGAGCAGUGAGAGUCGCGCGGAGACGCGCCCAGACUCGGGGAGACAGGAUGGUGAUGGGUGUCCGCGGCCACAGUCCCCUGGGUGCGGCCGCGCGCGCCCAGAGUCCCUGCCUGUCCCGGGGGCAGAGUCCGGGCCGGUGGACUCCCAGUCGACCGCCGAUGUCGCCUCUCUCCCCCCGCCGGCUGCUGCAGUACCAGAGGCGCGCCUCGCCAGUCGUCUCCGGCGCCAGACGGCGUGAGAUGACCCGCAGCCGCAGCCUGGACACGAUCCUGGACAGCGGCGCGGGACUCGGCGCCGAGACGCAGUUCCUCAGUCGCUCCGAGGACGAGCUCGGCUGCUGCAGCGGCGAGGACGGCGCAGACGGCGCGCCAGACUCGCCGCAGACGCCGCCGGCUACUGGUGAUGCGCCACCAUCGCCGCCGAUAACGACGGGCGGCGAGUCGACGCCGUGUCGAGAGCUGGAGCGAGAGACCUCGGUGGCAUCGGAGACCAGUCGAGACUCGGAAAUCUCGCGCCAGGGCCGCAAAGGCCUCGUUGGACGGACCUUCAACAAGAUGCGGCACAUGAUUACCAAAGAGAAGUAACCCGGCCGACGCGUGCUGGCAGCUAGGGACUCCGUGGUUGGAUAUUGUGGGUUCUCGGCAGGUGCCUGUGCCGCCGUCGACUUUACAUAGUGGUUGUUAUUCAUUCGUCGCCGUCCGGAGGAUGUUGAAGCUUCGUCAUUGGCCUGCUUCCUUCCAGAAGCCCUGAUGUGGCUGCCUUCCAGUUUGUCUCCUGACCGACAGGGACAGCUGCUGAGCAUUGGAUCUCGAGUUGUAAUGUGUUGAGCGACGUAUGUGUGAACGCACGUUGUAUGUGUCGCUUGUUGGUGUAUGAACGUGCCUUGGUCUACGUGAAAAGAAGCGAGCAGCACGCAUGUGUCAUGUAAGCGAUGAUGUGCUAUCAUGUCUCACCUCUGGGCAAGCUGCAUGAUGUUGAAAGGUGUCCCGUGAAAGAAUGUUAGUGCUGGUGUUUAUAGUUGCGCGACUGGUAAUGUUUUGCUCCAUCAUGUGUGACGUUUUCUGACGUGUUUUAUAAGUUGUGAGAUGCCAGUAGAAACAGUGUUGUUCUUUGAAUAGAUACCCUUUUGGUGCUUGUUGCUCUUGCUUGGUGCGUGUAAUGAGGUUCUAAAAGGCACACAUUGUACUGAUAGCAGUAAGUUAUCACAACGUAUUUGUAAAGCUCUUUUGCGCUGUUAUUUAUGUAUGUGCUGUUAGUAAGUUGAUUCACCAUCAUGCCCUUUUCAUCCAUUUAGCCAUAGUGUGCCGUUACCCAAGUUUUACCACCAGUUUUACCAUCACCCGAACCAACGAGUCGCGUUCAACACUGAUUCAACUGCACUUCUCUGUUCUCUUGAGCCCCUGAGCGCCUUUUUGUCGCCGAUCAAUUGUCUCUCAAGUUCUCGAGCGCUCAUAAAGCUAUGACUCUGACUCAGCGACUCUCUGGUCAGUCUACUGAGCUCCCCGAGACAAACCGUAGUCAAAACUGAGGGCAGAGCGCUUCAGAGCCGCCGCACUUGUGACGGCGCCCUCCUCUGGUAGUCGUCUUAUCCGGUACAAUAUUGUUUAUUUUUCUCUGGUGUGACACAUCUGUGUGAUGUUAAACUGCACCUCAGCUGUUGACACGUUAUUUAAGCGGUUGCGUUUGCUCUGCCUGAUCGGAGCUGACGUGAGAGAUUGCUAAACGUGAAGUGGUUAGUUGAUAUUAAGGUCGGUGCGGAACGGAUGCAUAGUCGUCUAAGCAGUAGCACUGGUCAUGCGUGUAUGAUUCAUUGGCAGGGUGUUUUGUACGCCCGCUCAAGGUUGAAUGUCUGUAGUUUUCAGGUGAUCGUAGAUGCGACGCUACGAAUGUCCAUGUCCAUGUAUGGUUGUCACUUCUGUCCUCAAAUACAUCGGAAAAUCAUCGA
RNA transcript from Amphibalanus amphitrite, 6031 nucleotides. It is a transcript of the gene named NAD(+) hydrolase sarm1-like, with no coding region annotated. The record is from RefSeq and is a predicted model, not a curated record. The transcript has 11 exons. Lineage: Eukaryota; Metazoa; Arthropoda; Thecostraca; Balanomorpha; Balanidae.